This 254-nucleotide ribosomal RNA is filed under the name uncultured bacterium. RNAcentral's name for it is "partial 16S ribosomal RNA". It matches the Rfam family "Bacterial small subunit ribosomal RNA", at positions 524 to 776 of the family's 1533-position model. The record is from RNAcentral.
UACAGGGGGAGCAAGCGUUAUCCGGAAUGAUUGGGCGUAAAGCAUUUGUAGGUGGCUCUUAAAGUCUACUGUCAAAUACCAAGGCUUAACCUUGGACAGGCAGUGGAGUACUCAAGAGCUAGAGUGUGGUAGAGGUAGAGGGAAUUCCAUGUGGAGCGGUGAAAUGCGUAGAGAUAUGGAGGAACACCAGCGGCGAAGGCGCUCUACUGGGCCAAGACUGACACUGAGAAAUGAAAGCUGGAGGAGCAAAUAGG